Molecule: non-coding RNA, 5078 nt
Organism: Phoenix dactylifera (date palm)
Lineage: Eukaryota; Viridiplantae; Streptophyta; Magnoliopsida; Arecales; Arecaceae
Source: RefSeq, a predicted model, not a curated record
AUAUUUGCGCUCCUCCGCCCGUCCUCAUCACCCCUUCUUCGAAUCUCUCUCUCUCUCUCUCUCUCCAGAAGGCCUCCUUUUUCGAACCCUAGUUCUCUCCUGCUACGCCUGUGAUCCGAGUGGAAAAGUCUGAUCAAGAUUUCUGGAGCGCCGAGGAAUCCGUGCCGGGGCUCUCGGAUCUGGCAAUGGAGGCCCAACGAGGCCGGAUCUGAUACCGAUGAUCUCGGGGUCAGUGCAAUGCGGUGCUUCAGGUUGGAUCUUUGGGGAGUCUCGAGACGAUAGGGAUCGAAUCCGAUGAAUCUUUUUGAAAAUUUAACGAUCUUUCGAAUCCUUGGAGGUAGGUGAUUUCGGCUCUGCGUUUCCGUUUCUUUUGUCUAUCGUUGGCUGGAUGUUGGUUUCUGCAAAGAGUUAGGGCAAUUUGCGUAAAUUAGGGUUAUUAACAACUUGGUAGCACAGUUUGGCGUCGUUCUUGUUAUAUUUGCCUUUCGUUGCUGUCAAAAAAAAGGAUUUGAGCAGUGUGGGGCUAUGGGUGGUGCUUAAUUUCUUGGUUGAAUAGUUUUCUUGGAGUCUGGAUAUUUCUUGUACUGUGAAUCAUCGAGUAUCAACAUUCUUGAAGCAAUUAAUAGCUAGAUCACACUUUUGAUAAGAUAUGGUGAACAAUGGAGAGAUGAUCGUCUACUAGGGAUAUAUCAUCGUGGAAAUUGCCUGGUAUGCUAGAUUGAAAUAUUCAAGAAAUUGAAAUUCCUCUGGUUGAUGUUGAUUUAUUUUCGGUCGAUGACGGAAAGGCAGGCAAUUUCCUGCGGACUGCGAUUUUUGGAGCUAUGUCUGCUAAAGCUAAGGCUUGCACGGAGAUAAUAUAGACGACUAUAAUCCUGCUGCAAGCAAGGACCUGUUUUGAAUUGGCAGAGUCACAGUUCCUUGAAGUAGGUUUCCUGGGGUACUAUGGAGCUACAGGGCCUUCCAACGAGGCUUGAACCAUCCGCAACUUCUACAGGGCAGGACAAAUUUAGCAAAUCCCAGAGGAUUCGGCACAAGAGUGUGCAGUUUGAAGACUCAUUUACUUUUGACGAGAAUUCAAGAGUGAUAUACAUCAAUGAUCCAAGAAGGACGAAUGACAAGUACGAGUUCAGUGGGAAUGAGAUCCGGACAAGUAAGUAUACUGUAAUCACAUUUCUGCCCAAAAACCUGUUCAUCCAAUUCCACCGAGUAGCAUAUUUAUACUUCCUAGCAAUUGCUGCUCUUAAUCAGCUUCCUCCUCUGGCCGUCUUUGGAAGGACGGUGUCUUUAUUUCCCCUCCUCUUUGUGCUUUCUGUGACUGCUAUUAAAGAUGGCUAUGAAGAUUGGCGCAGGCAUAGAUCUGAUCGGAAAGAGAAUAACCGAGAGGCACAAGUUUUCCAAUCUGGCCACUUUCAGGCAAAGAAAUGGAAAAAUAUACGUGCUGGAGAGGUUGUGAGAAUCCAUUCUGAUGAAACAAUCCCUUGUGACAUAGUUCUGUUAAGGACUAGCGAUCCGAAUGGAGUAGCAUAUGUUCUGACAAUGAAUUUAGAUGGUGAAUCAAACUUAAAGACAAGAUAUGCACGGCAAGAAACAACUUUCAUGGACUGGGAGCAUGGUCCAUUUACAGGGUUGAUCAGAUGUGAGCAGCCAAAUAGAAAUAUUUAUGAAUUUACAGCCAAUAUGGAAUUCAAUGGGCAGAGGAUUCCCCUUGGCCAGUCAAACAUUAUUUUACGUGGCUGCCAACUUAAGAAUACAGAAUGGGUUGUUGGUGUUGUGGUUUAUGCUGGUCAGGAAACCAAAGCAAUGUUGAACAGCACAGUGUCACACUCCAAAAGGAGCAAAUUAGAAAGCUAUAUGAACAGGGAAACCCUGUGGUUGUCAGUUUUUCUCUUUGUCAUAUGUGCAGUGGUAGCAAUAGGGAUGGGGUUAUGGCUAAAACGUCAUGGUAAUCAGCUUGAUACCCUACCUUAUUACCGAAGGAGCUAUUUCACAAAUGGUCGAGAUAAUGGAAAGGAAUACAGAUAUUAUGGAAUUCCUAUGGAGACACUUGUCUCAUUUUUUAGCUCUGUCAUAGUGUUUCAAAUAAUGAUACCUAUAUCUUUGUACAUCACAAUGGAGCUGGUCCGGUUGGGUCAGUCAUACUUCAUGAUUGGGGAUGCCCAGAUGUAUGAUAGUGGUUCAGGCUCAAGGUUUCAGUGUCGAUCCUUAAACAUAAAUGAGGAUCUAGGUCAGAUACGUUAUGUAUUUUCAGAUAAAACAGGAACUCUGACUGAGAAUAAGAUGGAAUUUCGGAGGGCUAGUGUGUAUGGAAAGGAUUAUGGAAACUUGCGUAAAACUAGUCACUCAUUGCAGGAAAUUUGCAUUUCAGGAGGUCCCAGACGGAAGCUAAGUUCAGAUAUCAAUGUUGAUCCUGAACUUUUGGCACUAUUGCACAAAGACUUGGUUGGAGAGGAACGAAUUGCUGCUCAUGAGUUUUUCCUUACUUUGGCCGCCUGUAACACUGUCAUUCCAAUAGCUAGCCGAAGUUUGUCUCCUAGUGCCAAUGACUCACAUGAUGAGAUAGAAGCAAUUGAUUAUCAGGGUGAGUCUCCUGAUGAACAAGCAUUAGUUGCUGCAGCUUCAGCUUAUGGUUAUGCUCUCAUUGAACGUACAUCAGGCCACAUUGUUAUUGAUGUCAAUGGUGAUAGGCUAAGGUUGGAAGUACUUGGUCUGCAUGAGUUUGAUAGUGUGCGGAAAAGAAUGUCUGUGGUUAUUAGAUUUCCUAAUGGUGCUGUGAAGGUGUUUGUUAAGGGUGCCGAUAGUUCAAUGCUCAGUGUUCUCGACGAACUGAAUGACCAGGGGCACAAAGGAGACAGGAGCAGCAAAGUAAAAUAUGCAACAGAGAAUCACUUGACAAAUUAUUCAUCACAGGGUUUACGCACCCUGGUAAUUGCUGCGAGAGAUCUCAGUGAUGGAGAAUUCGAGGAAUGGCAGAUCAAGUAUGAAGAAGCUAGUACAUCAUUAAGUGAGAGGUCAGCUAAGCUUCGUCAGGCAGCUGCUCUUAUUGAAUGCAAUUUAAGCCUUCUUGGGGCUACUGCAAUUGAAGAUAAACUGCAAGAUGGUGUGCCUGAAGCUAUAGAAUCCCUACGUCAAGCAGGAAUUAAGGUUUGGGUUCUCACAGGAGAUAAGCAAGAGACUGCAAUUUCGAUAGGUUUUUCAUGCAAGCUCCUGACGCAAGAUAUGCAUCAAAUUAUUAUAAAUGGUGCUUCAGAGAGGGAAUGCAGGAGUCUGUUGGCCGAUGCUAAGGCCAAAUAUGGAGUAAAAUCAACAAACUGUGCCACUAGGACCUUGAAGUCUAAGAAAAAAUUCUAUAAUCAUUAUCUUGAGACUCCUGAUGAUGCAAAAACUUCUAGGGAUUUGAUAGCUAACAGAGGGCCACAAGCUCUUGGGUCUAAUGUGGCUGUUGUUAAUAUGACAGGAUCCUGUGGAGAGAUUUUGACAAGUUUAGCAAAUGCUCCACUGGCACUCAUAAUUGAUGGAAACAGUCUUGUUUACAUCUUAGAGAAAGACCUGGAGACAGAGCUUUUCGAUUUGGCAACUGCUUGUAGGGUUGUGCUUUGCUGUCGGGUUGCUCCAUUGCAAAAAGCUGGAAUUGUUGAUUUAGUUAAAAACAGGACAAAUGAUAUGACUCUGGCUAUAGGUGAUGGGGCAAACGAUGUAUCAAUGAUCCAAAUGGCAGAUGUUGGUGUUGGCAUAUGUGGUCAAGAAGGUCGUCAGGCAGUAAUGGCAUCAGAUUUUGCUAUGGGUCAAUUUCGUUUUCUCAAAAAAUUGCUUCUUGUACAUGGUCACUGGAAUUAUCAGCGUGUUGGUUAUUUGGUUUUGUACAACUUCUACCGGAAUGCUGUAUUUGUGUUAAUGCUAUUCUGGUAUAUCUUAUGCACAGCAUUUUCUACAACUUCAGCUUUGACUGAUUGGAGUAGUGUAUUGUAUUCUCUCAUCUAUACAUCGGUCCCGACAAUUGUGGUUGGUAUUUUGGACAAGGACUUGAGCCAUAAAACACUCCUUCAGUGUCCAAAACUUUAUUGUGCAGGGCAUAGACAUGAGAGCUAUAAUAUGCAUCUCUUCUGGCUCACAAUGGUUGAUACGUUGUGGCAAAGUGUUGUUCUAUUCUAUAUUCCUAUUUUCACUUACAGAAACAGUACCAUUGACAUCUGGAGCAUUGGCAGUCUGUGGACAAUUGCAGUUGUUGUGCUUGUGAAUGUUCACUUGGCAAUGGACAUCCGACGCUGGGUAUUGAUUACUCAUAUAGCAAUAUGGGGUUCUAUAAUCAUCACAUAUGUUUGCAUAGUGAUAAUUGAUUUGAUACCUAACUUUCCCAAUUACUGGACAAUAUUUCAUUUAGCCUGUUCAUGGACUUAUUGGCUCACUAUUUUGCUAACUACAAUUUUAGCCUUGCUUCCUCGGUUUAUUUGCAAAGUGACCUGGCAGAUCUUCUGGCCUUCAGAUAUUCAAAUAGCCAGAGAAGCUGAAAAAUUAAGGACCCGGCCAUUUGGAAUAGAGAUCUGAAAUAUAUCUCAUAAAAGUUCUAGUCAAUAUCUUUGCAUUUAGACAUUGUAUGGCUUUCUUAUGGAGCUUAUCAGAAACUUUACAAAAUUUUAAUCAUGUAUACGUUUAACUGCUAACAAGCUCUCGAGCGUGCUAGACCAGAAACAAGUUAAAACUGAAUUUUAUCAUAUUAUACAGAAUGUUAUGAGCUUCCAUAUGACAAUGGUCCAUGAAAAGGGGCUGCCUGCUAUGUAAGCAAUGAAGAAAGCAGAGAACUCACGUCCUGGAUGAAAGACCUCAAGAUGCGCAAACGGCAAGGACUUUAGGGUUGGGACAGGCCGCCUGGGCUGAUCGAUUAUUAGAUUGGACAAUAAUCUGAUAACACAAAACCAUGUGAAAUUAAUCCGACGGUGGAUAACUAGGGUAAAAAGGGUACAUAGCUGGGAAAAUAUUACUCAUUUUUCCUCCUUUUUUCUGUGUGUGUUCCUGUAUCUUUGGAAAAUUGUAUUUAUAUAAUUGGGAAAUUUGUUAAAAGUUCUUGCAGUAGUUCUUCACUC